GACAGAGGGUGCAAACGUUGCUCGGAAUCACUGGGCGUAAAGGGCGUGUAGGCGGGACUGUAAGUCGGGCGUGAAAUCCCUAGGCUCAACCUAGGAACUGCACUCGAAACUGCGUUUCUUGAGUAUCGGAGAGGAAAGCGGAAUUCCUGGUGUAGAGGUGAAAUUCGUAGAUAUCAGGAGGAACACCAGUGGCGAAGGCGGCUUUCUGGACGAUUACUGACGCUGAGACGCGAAAGCGUGGGGAGCAAACAGG
RNAcentral lists this ribosomal RNA (253 nucleotides) under uncultured bacterium. Its description in RNAcentral is "partial 16S ribosomal RNA". It matches the Rfam family "Bacterial small subunit ribosomal RNA", at positions 524 to 776 of the family's 1533-position model. The record is from RNAcentral.